RNAcentral lists this ribosomal RNA (336 nucleotides) under bacterium enrichment culture clone ALO1_GLFRUDD03HHFUE. Its description in RNAcentral is "bacterial SSU rRNA". It matches the Rfam family "Bacterial small subunit ribosomal RNA", at positions 9 to 342 of the family's 1533-position model. The record is from RNAcentral.
GAGUUUGAUCUUGGCUCAGAUUGAACGCUGGCGGCAUGCCUUACACAUGCAAGUCGAACGGCAGCACGGGAGCUUGCUCCUGGUGGCGAGUGGCGAACGGGUGAGUAAUGCAUCGGAACGUAUCCUGGAGUGGGGGAUAACGUAGCGAAAGUUACGCUAAUACCGCAUAUUCUGUGAGCAGGAAAGCGGGGGACCUUCGGGCCUCGCGCUCUUGGAGCGGCCGAUGGUCGGAUUAGCUAGGUUGGUGAGGUAAAGGCUCACCAAGGCGACGAUCCGUAGCAGGUCUGAGAGGAUGAUCUGCCACACUGGAACUGAGACACGGUCAGACCUCCGUAC